UUCUUCUUGAAAAAACCUUCUACUUCCUUAGAGAAGUCCACCACUACUAGGCAGUAAAAGAGGUUAGAGGAAGGCCGUUCUCUACUCACCUAGUAUUCAAGCUGGGCUUCUAGGAAGCUAAAAAUACAUGAGGCAUAGGACCCAAAAAGAAGCAAACAAGAUGCAAAGUGACUCAGUAGCUUAGUUUCUGUGAUGCUCCUUUGGAAUGGAGAAGGCUUUGGUUUUAGUCCCUGCUUCCAAGUACUAUGUCAGGUACCUAAUCUCCUGAGAAGAAGAGGAUUUUAGAAAUUUCUUCACAUGCCUCUCGGCUUUCUGAGUUGUGCUCUGGAGAUGCUGACCACUUUCAGUUCCUUGGAACACCUAGAUAUCUAAACUUGAAUCAGUCUUAGGCAAUCCUAAAGUCUCUCCAUUGACCAUAGAGAGAUCCUAAACACCUCACUUGGUCAAACUAAAUCAGCUGCCAGAGCAAGGAGCCAGAUGUGCUACACAGGAUGUAGCACUACAAAAAAACAGAUCACUCUGGAGUAUGUAUACAUGUACCAGUC
Gavialis gangeticus (Gharial) is the source of this 545-nucleotide long non-coding RNA. RefSeq lists it as uncharacterized. The record is from RefSeq and is a predicted model, not a curated record. NCBI's taxonomy places the organism in Eukaryota, Metazoa, Chordata, Crocodylia, Gavialidae. The transcript has 3 exons.